AACGCUGGCGGCGCGCCUAACACAUGCAAGUCGAACGAGAAAGGGGAGCAAUCCCUGAGUACAGUGGCGUACGGGUGAGUAACACGUGGAUGAUCUACCCUUUUGUGGGGAAUAACCAUGGGAAACCGUGGCUAAUACCGCAUAAGCUCGAGAGAGGAAAGCAGCAAUGCGCAGAAGGAGGAGUCCGCGGCCGAUUAGCUAGUUGGCAGGGUAAAAGCCUACCAAGGCAGAGAUCGGUAGCCGGCCUGAGAGGGCACACGGCCACACUGGCACUGAAACACGGGCCAGACUCCUACGGGAGGCAGCAGUGGGGAAUCUUGCACAAUGGGGGAAACCCUGAUGCAGCGACGCCGCGUGAGCGAUGAAGCCCUUCGGGGUGUAAAGCUCUUUCGGCAGGGAAGAUAAUGACGGUACCUGCAGAAGCAGCUGCGGCUAACUACGUGCCAGCAGCCGCGGUAAUACGUAGGCAGCAAGCGUUGUUCGGAGUUACUGGGCGUAAAGGGUGUGUAGGCGGUUGUUUAAGUUUGGUGUGAAAUCUCCCGGCUCAACUGGGAGGGUGCGCCGAAUACUGAAUGACUAGAGUGCGGGAGAGGAAAGUGGAAUUCCUGGUGUAGCGGUGAAAUGCGUAGAUAUCAGGAGGAACACCGGUGGUGUAGACGGCUUUCUGGACCGUAACUGACGCUGAGACACGAAAGCGUGGGUAGCAAACAGGAUUAGAUACCCUGGUAGUCCACGCCCUAAACGAUGCAUAUUUGGUGUNNNCAGUUCAUUCUGUCCGUGCCGGAGCUAACGCGUUAAAUAUGCCGCCU
Molecule: ribosomal RNA, 809 nt
Filed under: uncultured bacterium
Lineage: Bacteria
Description: bacterial SSU rRNA
Rfam family: Bacterial small subunit ribosomal RNA
Source: RNAcentral